Molecule: long non-coding RNA, 456 nt
Organism: Musca vetustissima
Lineage: Eukaryota; Metazoa; Arthropoda; Insecta; Diptera; Muscidae
Exons: 3
Source: RefSeq, a predicted model, not a curated record
AGAAUCACUUUGAAUAGUUUUUUGUUUAGAUGAUCAACAAAAAACAAUGAACAGUUAUUCUUGAGGAAUGCACGUGCGUUUUGUUUGGAAAAAAUCAUUCUUAUUUUGAUCGUUGUAAAGUGAAGUUGCAUUGUGAAAAUUGUGUUAAUAUAAAGUGAUUAAAAUAACAAAUAAAAAGGUCAGAUCAAGGUUUUAGCUGAUGCAUUAGCUGAAUUGAAGGUGAUGGUGCAAAAAUUACUUCGAUCUCAAAGUGAUGAGAUACCUUUAACGAAUAGGUUUCCCAUCAGCACUGAGAAAGAUCUUAUUGAUAUUAAUAACGACAUCACAAGUGAGAAUAAAGAUCUAUAUGUUAAGAUUAUAUCAUCCAUUAUAAAAAGAGAGGGAAUAUUGAAAUCAUUAAAAAAUAUUAUAGGUUUAAAAAUUACUUACGAAUAUAAUAUUGACGGAAAUCAUGGA